This 425-nucleotide ribosomal RNA is filed under the name uncultured bacterium. RNAcentral describes it as "partial 16S ribosomal RNA". It matches the Rfam family "Bacterial small subunit ribosomal RNA", at positions 359 to 776 of the family's 1533-position model. The record is from RNAcentral.
GAAUAUUGGACAAUGGGCGAAAGCCUGAUCCAGCCAUGCCGCGUGUGUGAAGAAGGUCUUCGGAUUGUAAUGCACUUUAAGUUGGGAGGAAGGGCAGUCAGCGAAUACCUUGCUGUUUUGACGUUACCGACAGAAUAAGCACCGGCUAACUCUGUCCCAGCAGCCGCUGUAAUACAGAGGGUGCAAGCGUUAAUCGGAAUUACUGGGCGUAGGGCGCGCGUAGGUGGUGCGUUAAGUUGGAUGUGAAAUCCCCGGGCUCAACAUGGGAACUUCAUCCAAAACUGGCGAGCUAGAGUAGGGCACAGGGUGGUGGAAUUUCCUGUGUAGCGGUGAAAUGCGUAGAUAUAGGAAGGAACACCAGUGGCGAAGGCGACCACCUGGGCACAUACUGACACUGAGGUGCGAAAGCGUGGGGAGCAAACAGG